UCCGGGUUUUUAAAAAAAAACAAAAGGGAAGGGGAUUUUUCUCUCUGGGGAAACCCAGAAAUCGGCCAGGAGGGCCACCGCGCGCAGUCGUAGAUCCGUCGCCGCCGGCCACCUUCCACGGUGGUCGAAACCUCAAAAAAGGUGCAGAGGGCGGUGGAUGUGAUGGGGCGGUGCUGCAGUGGGCAGGUGGUGGCAGAGAGUUGGUGGUGCGGCGCCAAACAUAGGGAUUAGGAUUUUCUGAUUUGAUUGGGGAUGGGGUAGGCUAAAAUUGGGCCAUGGUAGUUGGGUUUUGAUCUAUUUGUUUUGGGUUGUUUGGAUUUAUUGGGGAGGUGGGCUAGGUAGAUUUUGGGUUGUUUUAUUUGGGGUUUAGUAUGUAUUGGAUAUUGGAUUUUGUAAUUUAAAUGGGUUUGGGUAAUUUGUAAACGGGCUAAAAUUGGCCUACAACAGAGGGUAUUUCGGAAUAAUAAAUGAUUUUAUAAGUUA
Molecule: long non-coding RNA, 483 nt
Organism: Gossypium arboreum
Lineage: Eukaryota; Viridiplantae; Streptophyta; Magnoliopsida; Malvales; Malvaceae
Exons: 2
Source: RefSeq, a predicted model, not a curated record